ACACUGAGUUUGCAAACCUGGAGUUUUCGGUUUCAGAACAGCUGAUAAGAGUUGGUUUAAGCAACUCCGAGUUGAUUGGCUCAGAGUUAAGCGCGUGCACCGCGACGAUACAAAGCCCUGAUCAAUGGAGUGAAGAUAUUACGAGUCACCAUGGCAACAGGACAACAAAAGACGUCCGGAAAUGGAUAUGACCUCAAAGAAAAAGCGACUACAAGCCUAUAUUUCGUAGAAAAAGCAACACGGCUGCAGCGACGAAAGAGAAAUAAUUAGCUUCGAAGGAAAUAGCUGCUCGAGUCAAUGCUUAAGUUUACAUUUAAAUCAUAUCGUGUUCAGUGUAACCAUGCACCAUCUUAUCAUGGGUGUAGACUACCUGACUUUACAACAUUUGACAUAUUAAAUAAAUAAAUAGCAUGCAGAGUAUAGCAGUGCAGCAGCAUUUUCAACAUCGGUGUAAUGAUAAUGAUAAUAAUCAUUUGACUUCUACUCAGCCAACAGAAAGAAGGUAGAGGCUAGAACAACUGGUGGAGGACCUGCACCACCACCACUGACACAUGCAGAGGAGAAGGCCCUCAGCCUGAACCCUGGAAAGCAGAGGCUGAAGGAAUUCUGGGAGGGAGUUCAUCAAAACCAGUCACUCCCCAGGAUAGAAGUGCAUCUGUAAAAUAUUCUGAUGAAAAUAUAUGAAUCUUCCUGUCACAACAGAAGCCCAGGAUGUUAGUGUGAAAGAACAGCAGGAGGAGGGUAUGUCACAUUCUGCUGCACAGAUGGACACAUUACCGGUUAAGGAGGUGUAUAAACUAAAUCUCAAGGAAAUGUUAUACUUGGACCGCCAGAUUGAAAAGACAGAUCUAGAAACUGAAAUUCUCAAACAAAAGCUUGAGGAAAUGAAGAAAACCAAAUAAAUUGUGAUUUGCAAUUGCAUGCAAUUUUUAUUCUUUUAGUGUGUGAUUAAUGUGUAAUCAAAAGGGGGGAAUUUAUUGGAAAAAUUGUGCCUUUGUGCUAUUUCUUAUCCAACACAGUCGUCAUGUGCUGGUUAGGUGCAAUACUGAACUGAACAUUCUUACACAAACAAAUAAUCUCUUGUGCCCUGUCGUACAUCAAGUCUAAACAUCUGAUGUUCCAUUUGACUGACUAAUAAUUUAUGAUAUAUGUUUGUCUUUUACACCCGGACUCUGGCUCCUUCCUAUCUGACUCCCCACCAGACCCAAGGCUGUUAAAGCGAAUGCAUCUUGUCUUGGAAGCUCGGUGUUCCUUCCUUUGGAUAACAAGACAUGAUGAUGCAGAAAUGAGAAAGCAAACAUUCUCACUCACAGCGAGAUAAGGUGGCGCAAACAAUUCUAUUGGUGCAGAGAGACACCAGGGGUUAGGGGAAAGGGGUUAAAAGGCAGAAGCAACUUCAGGAUCGUGGGCUCUUUGCAUCACACCUUCGUGGUGUGUGCACUAAUCUCCCCAGCUGGUUUUGGGUUUGUUGAUUUGCACGAUCAACAUCCAUGUUUUUUAUUUGCUUUCCCCAUUAUUUUUAUUUUCUUUAUUAUUUCAGUAAAUUGCACAAAAGGACAACUCUCCACACAUUAACCCCUAUCUCCAGCAGAAAGCCGUCAAUCUCUCCUAUAAGAAAGUUCACAUUACUUUAGUGCUGGAAAGAAGUGCUUCUGUGAGUGUGAGUGCAUGCAUUGAACUAAGUGUAUAGGACAUACAUGUACUUACCAUAGUUCAGCCUGUUACUUAGGGUUGACUUACAAUAUAUUCAUGAGUCAUAUCAAAAGUAGCCUAUUUGGAAGGCACUUGGCCUCCACGUUUGUGAUAACAUGUGCAUCAUCACAAAGGAUCUUGGUGGUGUAAACAAUGAUACGUCAGUUACAGUAUGGUGAUGUAGUCUUUGACCAUUAGAAAGAGUAGUCAGUGCACCUGUACAUUUAUUAGUUUAUUUCAGUUCACAGCAAGAUGUCAUCAACUGAUCAUCAUUUUUCAGAUUAGCCUCACUGAAAGAAUUAAAUACCACAUACCUGCAAUCCUGUGAAACUCCUCUUUAAUGGCUCUGAGGAGUUUGUGUCAAGGAAAGCGCUUGAGGUCAAACCUUUCUACAUACAGUGGCUUCACUAACGUGCUCAGCAUCUCCAAUGUUAUAAAGAAAACUACGGUUUGCAAAAAAAACGUAACGCAACACAAAGAAUCUGCUUGGAUGUAAGAGCACGGCCACGAUGGGUAAUGUGUCUGAUGUAUAGGUGGAUAAGAUUAUUGACAUAUGUUAUACAGUAGUAGAGUCUCGACAAAAACGGUACUGCUCAAAUAAAUAUGCAGUUGACAGUGAAGUUACUGUGUUAAAUUUAAGUCUGGUAUUCCCCUUUGCCUGCAGAGUUAUGAGUGAUGCUUUAUGUUCCUUACACUGUGCUUAAGUUCGUUCGUACGUACGUAACAUACAUAAAUGUAUGUCAUAGUAAGUAUUGAUGGAAAUGCAUUUUGAUUAAAAUUUACUAAAAUUAACUUUUUUCAGUGUAGGCUUACCUUACCUUUGCGUUACAUGCCCAGCUGGAAUGUACAGUAUUAGUUUCCACCAAACAUCCUUGCCUGUCUAUGUGAACUGAACUAAUGUUUGAAGCACAUAAUAAAAAUGCUGCUG
This is a long non-coding RNA of Betta splendens (Siamese fighting fish), 2620 nucleotides long. RefSeq lists it as uncharacterized. The transcript is spliced from 5 exons. The record is from RefSeq and is a predicted model, not a curated record. Lineage: Eukaryota; Metazoa; Chordata; Actinopteri; Anabantiformes; Osphronemidae.